Molecule: ribosomal RNA, 427 nt
Filed under: uncultured bacterium
Lineage: Bacteria
Description: bacterial SSU rRNA
Rfam family: Bacterial small subunit ribosomal RNA
Source: RNAcentral
UUUCGAAUCAUUCACAAUGGGCGAAAGCCUGAUGGUGCGACGCCGCGUGAGGGAUGAAGGCCUUCGGGUUGUAAACCUCUGUCACCGGGGAAGAAACGCUUCAAGUUAAUAGCUUGAAGCCUGACUUAACCCGGAGAGGAAGCAGUGGCUAACUCUGUGCCAGCAGCCGCGGUAAUACAGAGACUGCAAGCGUUAUUCGGAUUCACUGGGCGUAAAGGGUGCGCAGGCGGCCAUGUGUGUGAGGCGUGAAAGCCCGAUGCUUAACAUCGGAAUUGCACCUCAAACUACAUGGCUAGAGCAUUGGAGAGGGUAGCGGAAUUCACGGUGUAGCAGUGAAAUGCGUAGAUAUCGUGAGGAACACCAGAGGCGAAGGCGGCUACCUGGACAAUUGCUGACGCUCAGGCACGAAAGCGUGGGGAGCAAAAGG